This is a long non-coding RNA of Cyanistes caeruleus (blue tit), 629 nucleotides long. The record is from Ensembl. NCBI's taxonomy places the organism in Eukaryota, Metazoa, Chordata, Aves, Passeriformes, Paridae.
GGGCCGGGCCGGGCUGGACUCGCCGCCCGCUGCGGCGCUUCGCUCUGGCUGGAGCCGCAUUCCUCCCUGCUCACGGGCAGUCUAAACGUAGGAACUGCCGGGAGUCCCGGGGCCAGCCAUCCCGACGGCCUGUGAACAGCACCGGCCGCCUGCUGUGACCAUGUAGUUCAUCGUACGCAGCAGCCGAAGCGGGGAUGGGCAGCCUGAGGCCCUGUCAGCUCGUGUCCCGCUCGGCCGGUCCUCGCUACGUGCCCUGGGCUUACCCAGUGCGAACUGUGGCGCUGAACCAGGGACGAGCCCGGCCUCUGCCGAGGCGCAGGCUCUGCCCUCUCCCACCGGCCCAGGUUGAAGUACCAAAAAGGCAUGGACCUGUGGUUCUGAAACUCCUGCUUAAGGUCCAGCAGGGCCAGACUUCCAGAUGUGGUGUGGCAUGCUCUCUGCUGUGUAUCUGUCUCUCAGGGUGGGCAGGAAGAAAACCAGAGAGGACUAGGCUGCACCUGAUGCUGGCCAAGCCACUAUUUUUUGCUGUCAUCAGAGAGGUCAUCUGGUGCAUUAUUUUAUCUACGUGUUGCUUAGUUUCCAAGUUAUGUAGGAGGCCUAGCAAAUGGAGCUGCUGUAACUGUGACUAG